RNAcentral lists this long non-coding RNA (201 nucleotides) under Trifolium pratense (red clover). RNAcentral's name for it is "long non-coding RNA (TPRA_LNC004783)". The record is from RNAcentral. Lineage: Eukaryota; Viridiplantae; Streptophyta; Magnoliopsida; Fabales; Fabaceae.
CACCUACAACCUCAACCUUUGGAAUAUCUUUCACUUUGUUCCAGACUUGUCGGGAUGUCAAAUAAUCUGGUGGAUCACGAGUCUCGGUGUCACCAUGAACAAAAACAUUUUUAUUUCUUCUAAACGGAUGAUCAGUAGGCAAGAACCGACGAUGACAGUCAAACCAAGUAGCCUUCCCACCGUUGUGUAACCAAAACGCUU